CUGAAUUUCAUGUGUUUGAGCUGAUGUAAAGAUGCAGUGAUGAAGAAGUUGACUGUUUGCAGAUAUUUCAAUAGCAAACGUCAAGUUUUCAGUUCUUGUUUGUCCACUGGCUGAUACGUAACAUUUUUCCCAGGAUUUACAAAUGAAGGACGGCUCAACCUAACACAUUGCUACAUUUGUGGAGUUAGAUGGUAUUUAAAGAGAGGAUGCUUCCAAGAUAUUUACUACAACACAAUAAGGAGUAGACUAUAGAUUGGUAUGGCUGAGUAGUUGUAUAAGGAGUGUUGAGAUACUUCCAGAUGUACACAUAGAUGCAGACAGCAAUUUUCAACCUCAAGAUCUGCACAUUUUUGAUAUAAUAUCAAAUUUUGAACAACAAAGAAAGGAAGUAAAUGAUAAAUAGAGGGAAGAAUUUGGGGGUUAUCGAGUUCUGUUGACAAAAAGAUUUACAGGAUAACAAAUGUUGUUAGAUGCAAGGUCAUACAGAAUAGAGAUUAGUUUAUUAAACUUUAAUACAUUUACAUGUAUACCGAACAAUUGGAUAGUUGAAAGCAUGCGAAAAAUUCUCAUUAAAGAAUAAAAGAUUUGGCAAACUGACAAGUUUCAUUUCUUUAGCUAACUUCACUUAGUUGCAAUUCAAUGUUCAUUCAAAAUAAGAUUAUUCAUCAAAAAGUACCUCAAUUUUGUUUCAAUUAUGUAUCCUUAUAAAUUUGCGCUUUUAAUGAAGGCUU
Molecule: long non-coding RNA, 731 nt
Organism: Patella vulgata (common limpet)
Lineage: Eukaryota; Metazoa; Mollusca; Gastropoda; Patellidae
Exons: 3
Source: RefSeq, a predicted model, not a curated record